AAAUUAUAUAUAUUUAUCAUUCUUGUGUAUUUAUAUAUAUUUAUAUAUAUAUAUAUAUAUUUAUUGUAAGAAGUAUAUGUAUUGUGCAGUCUGAACAAUUUAACUGCAUAUUCUUGAAUGGGUGGAAUGGAAUCACAGUAAUGUGCAAGAAAGACAAAAGAUUUUGAACAUUGUUUAUUCUUCUUCAAAAAAUUGAAGAAAAACAUGCGAUGACGUGGAGCAUAUUUUAUAAGUGAACAUGAAUCAAUUCAAUCAUGCUGGUGAUGAUAAUUGAUGAUAAAGUGAGUAUGAUACUGAAAAGAAUCAUUCAUUUAUUUGGAUUGACCAGUCAUUUGUUUAUCAACAACAGAAAAAAAUACAAAAUAAAAUAAUAAAAUAAUACAGAUUGGAGUAAAUAGCAUACGCCAAUGUAUAUAUGCUCAUCCGUUGUUUUAACUUUCAUUAAAAUUUAUAGUAUCCCAAAUAGCAUGUAAUUGUGGGUUCACAUCUUUACAUUUCAGAAAACACAUAUAUCGUUUCAUGUUUUCCUUUAAAACAUAAAUAAACAGAAUUUGAAUAAAUUGAAAAACUUAAACAUAUUUCAAUGUUUUUAACGCUGAACUAAAACCUGAUGACUUACACUGGUUUUACAACUUAAUAGUUGUGAUAUCCAUGAAUUCACAUAGAAUUGGCUAUUUUUUUGAAUUGAAUUUGGAUUUUUUUUCAUAAAAAGACGGUUUUAAUUUGUCGAAAUCACAAGUCAUGGGAUUAAUUCAUGUGAUGAAAAGUCUAAAAAUCACAAAUGCUGAAUGAAAACAUGUUGGUGAUUUUGAAGUUGGUUUAAUAAUUUGUAGAUUUUAUAGAGUAAAAUUGCAAUUUAAAAACGAACAUAAUAAAUCUUAUUAAUCUUUAGAUAUACUUACAAGGAAUCUCAGAGACCGUGCAUAUCAGAAUAUUCCAUUCUGAUGCAAACCCAUGAAUGAACUAACUAGCUGGCACCCAUGAAUCAAACCCCCUUUUAGAAUCAUUCAACCAGACUUGUUCAACAUAACAAAAAGGAUCAGCACACAAACACACACACAGACCUGAACCAAACACCAGACAACAACAACAUCAAAUUAAAUAAAAAUAAAAAUACGCACACACACACACACACAUAUAUAUAUAUAUACACACAUAAAAAUAAAGAAAAAAAGACAAGACAAAAAAGGACUAGAACGAACACAGUGCAGUGUCGGCGGAUGAACACAAACCCAAAUCAUUCAUCCAAUUAUGGAUGAAUGGGAUACUGCGAGCCCUAACGCAAGCCAAGCCAAGCAGCGGCGAAACAGAGUGCAGGCGCGCCAAACACAGACUGCAGCUCAGAGCGAGAGAGAGAGAGAGAGACAGAGAGAGAGAGUGUGUGUGUGUUGCUGUUGCGGUGCUGAAUUGUGGAGGAGGGGGAGGAGAAGAAGAUGGAAGUGGAAGGCGGAGCGAUUCCUCAUGUGAGAGAGAGAGAUAGGAAAGAAAAAGAAAAAGAAACAACAACAACAACAACAACAGAGAGGGAGAGAGGGGGAGAGAGAGAGCGAGAGCGACACAAACACCCAGACAAACAAACAAACAAACAAACGAAUAAACAAUCAAAGAAACAAACACAAACAGGUAGUAGACAGACAGACAGACAGAACAGAACCGCCAUAUGCCACAUGAAUGAAGAAGCUCCCAGUUUGGCCCCCCAUCCCCUCCCCAAAUCUUUGCCGAUCUUUGCUCUUCUGACUCCGCGUGAUGCCAUUCCUGCUCUCUCUGCUCGUCACGUCCUUC
Molecule: long non-coding RNA, 1782 nt
Filed under: Physcomitrium patens
Lineage: Eukaryota; Viridiplantae; Streptophyta; Bryopsida; Funariales; Funariaceae
Description: long non-coding RNA (PPAT_LNC000596)
Source: RNAcentral